RNAcentral lists this ribosomal RNA (861 nucleotides) under uncultured Neocallimastigales. Its description in RNAcentral is "partial large subunit ribosomal RNA". It matches the Rfam family "Eukaryotic large subunit ribosomal RNA", at positions 1 to 646 of the family's 3401-position model. The record is from RNAcentral. Lineage: Eukaryota; Fungi; Neocallimastigomycota; Neocallimastigomycetes; Neocallimastigales.
UAUGUGAUCGUCUCUCGCAUAUCAAUAAGCGGAGGAAAAGAGGGCUAUUACCUACGCUUAGGAUGUUGACACACGCGCGUGCUCGACCUAUACAUGACUCUGCGCAUAUCAAUAAGUGGAGGAAAAGAAACUAACAAGGAUUCCCCUAGUAACGGCGAGUGAAGCGGGAAGAGCUCAAAUUUGAAAUCUUAAAGGGUUUCCCUUUACGAAUUGUAGUUUAAAGAAGUGUUUUCUGUUGAGGUUUUGGUAAAAGUUCUUUGGAAUAGGACAUCAUAGAGGGUGAGAAUCCCGUAUUUGACCUUUACUUUCAACUUUGUGAUACACUUUCAAAGAGUCGGAUUGUUUGGGAAUGCAGUCCAAAAUGGGUAGUAAAUUUCAUCUAAAGCUAAAUAUUGGCGAGAGACCGAUAGCGAACAAGUACCGUGAGGGAAAGAUGAAAAGAACUUUGAAAAGAGAGUUAAACAGUACGUGAAAUUGUCAAAAGGGAAGCGUUUGACACCAGUGUUGUUUUUCUGAAAAUCAAUUAAAGAACUGUUUAUGCUAAGUUGUUUAGACUUUAUCAGCUAACUGUUUAGUUUUGAGCUUUUCUUUAAUGCACUUUUCAGUUAACAAGUCAACAUCAAUCUCUUUUGCUGUAAAAAAGCUUGAGGAAGGUGGCUUGAGAUUCGUCUUAAGUGUUUAUAGCCUCUUGCCUAUGCAGUCGGAGAGAUUGAGGUCUGCAGCGUAGAUCCUUCGGGGCUAAAUGCAUUUGUGCUAAGUUAUAGCAUUUUAUAGACAACUUGUUGACUAUGAUUUGUCUUGUAGCUUACUCGCUUAUGUUAUUUUACCUACGCUUAGGAUGUUGACACACGCGCGUGCUCG